CGGAGGCUCGCUAGAGCGGUUCUAGCGGGGACAGUACGAACGCAGCGCUCCUAUAGGCUGGAUGUGGCCUCAAAUCUAUUCCUGUACUGUUCCUAUUGGUCCGAUGAAGGUACAGGGCCCCUGUGAUUGGCUGCGGCGUUGUCACUCCCCCAUCCUUCUCCGCCCCUGGGCCCAGGGAGCUAUUUUCCAUUCGGUGGGGGUGCUGGCUGGGGCUGCGCCGUCCCUGCGAGGCAGCGGGAACCGGGUGGGCCCGGGAGCAGAUGAUGCUGGGGCCCCGGGAGGAGUCGGGACGGGGCUGAGAUGCGCCGGCCCCGCCGCAGUUGAACGCAGCCUGAGAGAAUCACCUCUGAGUACCCUUCGCUUCAAUGAAUGGAUGGCAUUGUCCAGAGCUGAACACUCAUCCACUGCAUGGGACUGUAGCACACCACCCUUCUGCCACUGAGCCAAUAUUGUCUUGCUGGCAGCGCUAACCCAGCAAAUCUGCAGCCAUGUACAUCAUUUCCAGUGUUAUAAAGACCUUAAAGGUGCCACCAGACUCCUCGUUGUUUUUGUGGAUACAGACUAAAAUGGCUACCCCUCUGAUAAGUGUUGUAAAGCUUUCCAGCACAAAGAAUGAUGGUUUGAUAUUCCACACCCAUCAUGAAUUUCACUCACUGAUACAUUAAUUGGAUGAGGACCUAUUAAGUCUGUGUCAAAAGAAGCAGGAUUAAUUAAAGGAAUGUUAAUCUCAUCUUCACAUUAGUUCAAUGCAUACACAGUCUGGUGGGCAUGAAGAACCGUACCCAACAGUGGAAUCCUGGAUCCUGAGCUGUCUGUCAAAACAGAGGUUUAGUUACAGAAUAAAUUCACACCCCUCCUCCAUUUUCUCUUGCUGUGGCCAAUCCCCUCCUGGAUAUAUUAUCACCAGAUCUGAAACAAACCACAUGAUUUUGUUUUCUUCCAGGUGGCUGAGUUGUAAGAGGGAAUGUGGAGCUGUUUGGUUGAAAAAAGACCUGUGGCUAUUAUGAAGGAGAGAAGCUCAUCAGCUGAGCCACCUGAACUAGAUACAGUGUCAACUCUUGAGGCUUAUUCUUCUGUCAAAGGCCAUGUGUAGCUCCUGAUGGCAUCUGUGCUCCAACGGGGGUUACCUAUAUCAUGCUGCAGGAAAACAGAGUCCCAGACAUUUAAAAAAAAUAUAUGGACAGACUUUGAAAGGGCCUGAUCCUGUGGUGAGCAGAGUGCACUCAAUCCCUUCUGAAGUUACUAAUAGCCAAGGGCACUCAGUACGUUACAGGAGUAGGCCCAGGAUGUGCAGUGAUACCGAAGAAGGACAUAUUAGUACUGUACUCUCUUUGGGACAGGGACCAUCUGCUCUGUGUUUGUCCAGUGCCUAGCACAGUGAGGCUCUGGUCCAUAACUGGAGCUCCAAGGGGCUACCACACUGAAAUAAUAAUGAUAAUAACAGGGCAGGAGAUAACUCAUGCUGUACGAAGUAGUUAAAAUGUUUUGAAAUGAUUUCCUAAAAAUAAUUCUGUAACCCCAGCUAACACACCUGCCCUUUUCCUGGCUUGGGAUCCAUUUUGGGAUCCAAGUGGAGAAGGUUUUAAAGUGACUUUUGAAAAAUGGCAUCACAGGGUCCCAUGUUGUUUGGGAUAGCUGGGGAGGGCAGGUGGGCUCGUGCUCAGGGCGGGUCAGCUAGGGCUCCUCUGGCUGCG
Molecule: long non-coding RNA, 1694 nt
Organism: Terrapene triunguis (Three-toed box turtle)
Lineage: Eukaryota; Metazoa; Chordata; Testudines; Emydidae
Source: Ensembl